RNAcentral lists this ribosomal RNA (253 nucleotides) under uncultured bacterium. Its description in RNAcentral is "partial 16S ribosomal RNA". It matches the Rfam family "Bacterial small subunit ribosomal RNA", at positions 524 to 776 of the family's 1533-position model. The record is from RNAcentral.
GACAGAGGGUGCAAACGUUGUUCGGAAUUACUGGGCGUAAAGCGCGUGUAGGCGGCUUUGCAAGUCGGGCGUGAAAUCCCAUGGCUCAACCAUGGAAGUGCACUCGAAACUGCAGAGCUAGAGUCCUGGAGAGGAAGGUGGAAUGCUUGGUGUAGAGGUGAAAUUCGUAGAUAUCAAGCGGAACACCGGUGGCGAAGGCGGCCUUCUGGACAGUGACUGACGCUGAGACGCGAAAGCGUGGGGAGCAAACGGG